CAGUACUGGCCUCCUCCUUCCCUCCCCUCCUCCAUGCUCCUGCCAAACCCUGCUGAUCUAUUCCUAUAAAAGCAGCCAUGUGGACCAACUCAGGGCCAUAAUCUCAUGGCUUGAAAGAAAUCAGGCUUCAAGCAAAAAAGAAGCUGUACACUAAGGGACAUUCUUCCCUCUCCAUGGCCCUGUUCAUGCUACCGUGAAAAACGAAGAGAUGCAAUGGGAAGAGCAGUGAGUUGGGAGUCAAGAACCUGGUCCAUCCCUAUGGAUUUUGGAGAAAUCAUGACCUCUCUGAACCUCAAUUCCUCAUGUGUGAAAUGAAGAACUUAAACCAGGUGUUACUCAAGAACAAUUUCCCAGAAACUUCCUUCUCCCCUAGGAAAUCUCUCCCCACAAGGAUGCAAAAGAGGA
This 405-nucleotide long non-coding RNA is filed under the name Equus caballus (horse). RNAcentral describes it as "lncRNA (ENSECAG00000055534.1)". The record is from RNAcentral. Lineage: Eukaryota; Metazoa; Chordata; Mammalia; Perissodactyla; Equidae.